GUCCGCCACCGGUGGUGCGAGCUCGUGGUGAAGCACAGGCACGCCCAGGCGCACAGGCACGUGGAGAGGUUCCUUCUGGAGGACCAGGUGAGGAGUGCGGCCUGCCUGGCCUCUCCCGGCCACGCCCUCUGCACAGCGCCCGGGCUCCUCGCGGCUCUCACAAGCCCAGGCUUCAGGCCCAGGUGGCUCUGCAGCCUCUUUCACUUGCCCCGUAAGCCUGUCCCCUUGCAGUGCCUCUGAGGCAGAGAGGUACGCACCCCAAGUGCUCCUGGGGUCUGGCCUGCCGUGGACCACUGACCUCUCUGCAGAGCAAGUGUACUGCAGGUCUCCUGGCCAAGGUCAUGGCACUGCACUCGGGGGUCACAGGAAGUGUGUGUGCAAACGUGUUGGGGGAUGUUCUCCCUGGCCGCCUCUGAUGUCCCCGUAGGACAUCCUGGGGAUCACCACCCUGGGCACCUACUGGACCCUGUACCCUCCCACCCCCCAGCAGUGCCUCUGAACCAGCUGCCUGCCCCGUGCUGUGGGCUCCUGGGAUGGAGCCGCUGUCCACUGGGUGCAGAGUGGGCAUGGUGUGGAGAAGGGGACUUCUGUGGGGUCUCACCAGGGCACGGCCAGUGAGUGAGCAGCUCAUCCCACUGAGAGCAGCAUAAAACCUGUGGCAAAGAAAUGUCACUCUUGCCCAGUGGAGCAGGAGCGCAGAAGGGCAGGUGUGCACGCACCUUGGCUCUUCCUGAAGGUGGCUCCUCGCAGCUCCCACAAGCCCUGGCUUCAGGCCCAGGUGGCUCCUCACCAUGCCAGGGCCUCCUGUCGGAGCCUCUCAGAAGUGCACCUUCCAGUCCCUGACCACUGGGUUUUUAUCUUGUGCUGUCUUGCGGCACUUCUUUUAACUUGCUCCAGCAGAACGCAUCCUGGGGUGACCAGGGGUGGGACGCACAGCAGGCAGAGGCCCAGGGCCCCAUCUUGCAGAAGCAGCUGGUGGCUGUGAGUGAGUGGGGCAGUGCAGAUGGGGUCUCCACAGCACCGUCCUCAGAACAGGGCACCAGUGUCUGCUGCCGUGGGAAGUGGUCAGGCAGGCAAAGGGACAGGCACUGGGUCCCCCUGCCCAUGGCUGCUGGGUGGUGUGCUCCUUGCUGCCCUGGUGGGUGACAGCCUUAAGGAGGAGUCACUUGGGACACUCCCUGAAGGAUCCCUGUCUCUGGGACAGACCCCCGUGUUCCCAUGGAGGUUGUUGUGGGGACCCCGGCUCCACCCCAGCCUUGCUGAUGCCAUCUCGCUGGCACCAGGGAAGCCACCAGAAUCUGUUGACAGAGGCUAUAGUAGAGGCUCAUGGGGCCUUGGUGAGAACAGGGAGGAGCCAGGCAUUGUGGCUCUGAGUUACAGGACCGCUCCCUGCUAUCGGGGAGGCCAGCACGGCUGCCCAGGGCACGGGGCUGGCAGAGGAGUGUCUGACACUGUGGCUUCUGCCCAUAGGCCAUGGGCGUGUACCUGUACGGGGAGCUGAUGGUGAGCGAGGAUGCCCGGCAGCAGCAGCUGGCCCGCAGGUGCUUCGAGCUGGCCAAGGUGCAGAUGGAUGGACCCUCAGCCGAUGUGGUAGCCCAGAUGCUGUUCUAAAGAGGUGAUUUUCUCCGUCUGUCCUGUGGUUUUGGGGACUGAACCCAGGUGCUCUGCCACGUGCCCCUCCUAGGAGCCCAGCAAACCAGGGUGCCCCAGGGUUUCAGCAGCCUGCUGCCUUGCAGGGCGGGCGGCACUUCCAGCCGAGGCAGAGAGCCCGCUGGGGAUGAGGCCAGGGUCCCUGAGCACCUCGUCUGCUGCAUGGUCACAGCAAGCACAGGCACCGUGGUAGCCCCGUGGGGUUUUCACGUUUAUAGGAACAGGGGUUGUGAGAUCAGCUCUCCCGCGGGCGCGGCCUGCCAUGGGCAGCCUGGCAGAGGCCCCGGUCCUCUCCAUGUCCACGGCCGUCCAUCCUCGGCCUGCAGCGCUUUCUCCUCCACAAGGCUCCCCAGUCCCUGCAGCCUGCACCUCGCUCAGUGCCACCCUGACUCCCUCCCCCUCACUGUGCUGCAGUCUCUGCUUAAGUGACUUCCCCGUUCCUUGUGCCUGGAGGUGGCCUGGGAGCUCUCCUUCCUGGCAGGCAGUCUUUAAACGUGGGUGUCCGCAUUCUUAAAGCGGGGGACCCCGGGGCUGAGCGCGGCCCUGGUGGUCAGGUGUGCUCUUCCUCUAACGGUCAGAACCAUUUGUCCUCUUGGGUUUUCUUCAGAGUCUUAAAUAAUAUGCCUAAUGUUGUGUCCUUUUUUUAAAAACAGCACCAGAUCUCAAGUGUCCGUCCUGCCCUAAAGCUUCCCUGUGGUUUAAUGAAUAUCUCAGGAUCCGAGUCUAGGUUCUUAGCGCUUUGCUGGACAUUUAGUUCACUGUUUUGCUCUUACCAAACCCAUUUCUGUUGACUGUUUAAAUGUCUUACUUUCCUGUAAGAACUCUGGUACUAAAGAGGAAGAGAGGUUUCUCAAGUGUGAUUGUGCUCUUCCAGAAGACUCUGGGCCCUGUUUUCCAGGAGGAGGGAACAGUAGGAGUAACUGAGGGACGCACAGUGUCAUGGUGGGACGUCAGAUGCUCCGGCUCCCCAGGGCAGGGUAGGAGCUGAGCAGGAGCCGCUGCGGGAGCCAUGGCACCACACAGGAGGAGUUGCUGUGGCAUGGCCAGCUCUCCAGGGGCCACCGAUUUGGGAACUGAACCCGGUGCUCUGCCACUGAGCUACAUCCCCAGCCUUUUUGUUCUUUGAGGCAAGAUUUGGCUGAGUUGCCUGGGCUCGCCCAGACCUGUGGUUCUUCUGCCUCAGCCUCCUGAGUGACUCUUCAGUCCUCCGAGUGCCAGCUCCUUGUGACUUCAUUGUUAUCGUCGUUUAUUUUUGUCCCUAAGCAGGCCGACGAGUCGUCCUGCUCCAGAGCUGCCACGCUUUGCGCAGUCUUUGUUCCUGUCCCUGCUCUUGUAGCCAAACCCAGGGACCACAGCAGACGCCUGUGUCCCUGCUGAGCCAGGGCUGCUCCCGAGUGGCACCCUCAGCGAGGAAGCUCUUGCUGCCCUGGGAGAGGCCCCCAGAGAUGUCCCGGGCAGGCCACUUAGAUCUGAGGCGAGAAAGCACAUGUCUCCAAGAAUCAGAAGCAGGAGGCUGAGAACCGGGCAGGACAGCCGGCGGAGUUCUGCCCAGGCUGGCCGAUGGGCGCCCACCUCCCGUUCCAGAGCUGCCCUGGCCUUCCGGGUCCUCUGGGUGCCGAGCUGGGUGGCGCGAACCCCUGGGCGUCUGGAUGGCACUGUCGGCCGGUGCGCCGGCCUGGCCGUGUGCGGCCUGCCCAGGGAGCGCCCGCACCGCGCUGCUCUCGAGUGCCCUGGCUGCUUGGGUUCCUGGCAUGCUGAUUUGUGACUUAAGAUUAAAAUCACAUUGCCAGGGAUUACCACGCAACCACGACCUUGGCUGCGCCCCAACCUGUAGUUGCCCUCAGCCUGCCGCGUGGAGAACAGAGGCGCCUCGUGGCCCUUGGAGACCAAAGACGCCCACGGCCAGGAAGACGCUCGCCGGCCCUUUACCUUUGCCCGCGGUGACCUCUCUGACGAGGUGCAGAGCUUAGCUGAUGGUGAACAGUGAUUGGUUUCCGCCUUGUUCACAGUGGCUAAGUUCUGCACCUGAAGAGAAGGUGAGACGGGCGGCUGAGUCGGAGCCACUGUGCAAGGCCUGGCUGACGGGGACGGUGCUGCUGAGCGCCCGGCCAGUGUGGAGCACGACCCUGGAGGAGACCCCUGCCCCGGGCGCUCUGCCCGCUGCCAGGGCUGCGGCAGAGCACCGGCUGCCCAGUCUCCUGCAGACCCGUCUGCCCACUUGCUAGGCUGUCCGCAAGGGUCAGGUACCAAAGGUCGCAGGCGCUGUCCUUCUAAAACUGCGUGCAGUGAAGCCACGUUGUGACUGUCACAUUUGUGGGGGGCUCUGUUGUCACUUCGCAGGCGCCGUGAACUCUCUCUUGUGUUUGCAGCCGCUGGUGGACAUGGCACGAGCUCCAGCCGAGGCACUGCUUCUCCGGGCUGUCAGUUGGACCCGCCCUCCGGUGCCUACUGAGCUGA
This 4107-nucleotide long non-coding RNA is filed under the name Marmota monax (woodchuck). The stretch from base 3603 to 3680 matches the Rfam family "mir-27 microRNA precursor family". The record is from RNAcentral. Lineage: Eukaryota; Metazoa; Chordata; Mammalia; Rodentia; Sciuridae.